This 305-nucleotide ribosomal RNA is filed under the name uncultured bacterium. Its description in RNAcentral is "bacterial SSU rRNA". It matches the Rfam family "Bacterial small subunit ribosomal RNA", at positions 336 to 658 of the family's 1533-position model. The record is from RNAcentral.
UUCCUACGGGGCGCAGCAGUGAGGGAUAUUGGUCAAUGGGGGAAACCCUGAACCAGCAACGCCGCGUGAGGGAAGACGGUUUUCGGAUUGUAAACCUCUGUCCUCUGUGAAGAUGAUGACGGUAGCAGAGGAGGAAGCUCCGGCUAACUACGUGCCAGCAGCCGCGGUAAUACGUAGGGAGCAAGCGUUAUCCGGAUUUACUGGGUGUAAAGGGAGCGUAGACGGCAAUGCAAGUCUGGAGUGAAAGGCGGGGGCCCAACCCCCGGACUGCUCUGGAAACUGUCUAGCUGGAGUGCAGGAGAGGG